This is a long non-coding RNA of Aphis gossypii (cotton aphid), 1077 nucleotides long. RefSeq lists it as uncharacterized. NCBI's taxonomy places the organism in Eukaryota, Metazoa, Arthropoda, Insecta, Hemiptera, Aphididae. The transcript has 3 exons. The record is from RefSeq and is a predicted model, not a curated record.
CCGGAAUUUGCGACAGGUCCGGCGCGCCGUCCGGCCGCGAGUUCCCGGACAGCACCAUGAACACCCGUUUCCAGUUGGUGCAAGCCACCUGCAGCGGGACAAACACGUCGACGCUCCCCAGGGCACCACGAUUCGUGCACUUUGGAACCACUGCAAUAUAUAUAUACGAAAUAACCUUAACACCUGGCUCAAUUAUACAUAAACAACUAUCAAUAAAUUCCACGUUUUAAAUAAAUAAACAUUACGACAAAAUGUUCUGGCAUACACACGACUUUCAGUGCUUUUCAAAUAAACAAACAAAUAACAAUAAUGGUAUUAAUAAUAACAUAUUUUAUAUUUUACAUACUUUAUUACCUUUAGGUACCUACAGUAAAACGUUUAGCCUUAUAAUAUUAUUUAAAUAUUAUAUACAAUAAAUAAUAUAAUAUAUAGAUAUUUUGUUAAAAUAGUUUUUCUAUAAGCUAAGUCAAUACGAAUAUGAAAACAUUGAUAUUGUUUUGACUUUGAGUAUGAAAUAUAAUACUUAUUAUUUUACUUAUAAUAGUUUACCUCGUACGUUUUAAUUUCGUGCGCGUAUCUAUAUAGAAACUAUAAUACCUAUACUUAUAUCUCCCUUAAUUGUCAAAUUAAAUUAAAAACUUCAAGAAUCCUAAUUGUAUGGUAUUAAUAUAAUAGUAUGUUGACAAAAUGACAACAAAUAACAAUAUAAAACGUCGCUGUGCUGAAGCAGAAAUGUAUUGUAGCAGGAACUUAAAUUGUGUAUUGUACGGCAUACUUUGUGUAGUACGAAAUGUUAAAUGUGUUUUACGAAACUAAAAAGUGUGAAAUGGCUAACUGUAUUUUUUAUAAUUUUUUACUUCAUUUAUUUUUGAUUGAUUUAUGUAUUGGAAUUAAAUUAAUACAUUUUGACAUAUUUUGUAAAAAAGUCUUUUUAUUUAUGCGUAUUCAGAAGUAUUUAAUCAUAUUUAAAUAUAAGUAUAUAGGUACUUGAACAAUAAUAUUUAGUUUAUAAUUAUUUAUAUUUAAUAUUAUAUUAUUUAAAACACGUAUUUAACUACGGGUUUACCCAAAUAUCGU